UAAUGGUCAUAGCAGUAAAGUUUCGAUUUCGAUUAUUACAUUGUAUGUUGUUGUUUGCUGUAGGGGUCUUAAAAGGACGUAGAAUUGAUGCAUGAAGGAUUGUGUUGUAUUUAAAACUUUCUUUACCAGUGUCAAAAUACGUUUGUUUUAAUCCAACUUUACUCGAUGUUGGUAGUUUUAAAAUUUUAUUGUUCCUUUUCAUGAAGUGGUCCAGGUGUUAGUAUCCUCAUUCUUGGGAAUUUUCACUGGUUCACCUUCUUUUAGCUUCAAAAGAGACUUGAAAGGGGUUAGAAUCGAGGUUAGAAUCAGUUUUGCAAAGUAAUCCAUCUUUUCCUUGAUGUCGGCCGAUUUGAAUUUUUCUUUAGCUUCUUUUGAAACUGGAAAGGAGAGUGCAAGAAGUGAGAUUGGAACAAGUGUUGUUAACAAACCAAUUCAUGUGCUUGUUAAGGUUUAACGAGAUUGUAUGUGUCUUGACUAAUUUUAUUGGUACAUCGUUUUACAUCAUCCUUUUAUGGCAAUAUUGUUUGGACAAACUUUUAGCUAUGAACAAUUUCAUUGUUCGCUUAUUUGAGGUCUGUUCAUGGUUAAAGAUUUGGAUACCUUCCAAAUGAUUUAGUGGACUUUUCUCCUUUUCAAUGUUUUAAGAGUGUUGUCAGUAACUUUUUGGGUGUUGAAUACAAAUGAGCACCUGAGUAAGGAUUGAGAACAUUUUAAGUGAUUCAGUCCUAAUUGAAAGAGCUCCUCGAUGUCUAACUUAAAUUACUUAAGGAAUGAAUGUCGAGUCUAUGUUUGGUAAAAUGGGUAUUUAUUCUUUAUCAUGUGAGGUCAGUUGUCAAUCCCUUAGUAGAUUGUGGUACCAUUAUGAGAUAGCAAUAGUAUUACUGUGAUUGUAUUGUAGUUUGUUAGAUAAAAACCGUAGCUUUGUAACCCGUUCAGUUUAAUUCAGCUAUAAUUUUUCUUUUUGCUUUGCAACUCCAUGCUUCAUUCUUCCUUUGAAAAGCUGUGAUAUUGUGAUGCUUCUAGACCAGACUUUUGUUCUGAUGGAGUAUGGUGUGUGCUAUUAUAUUGAUUGCAUGACCCUUCCAUAUUUGAAUUACUAUCUUCCAGUUCAUUUGAGUUACUAAAGUUGACUGUUUGUUUAUCAAUUUAUUAUAUUAUUUAUCCAUGUAGCAUUUUGUGUUUUGGAUGUGUAUUAAUUUCAUUUCUCUUUCUUCUUUUGCAUGACAAUUCAUUGGAGUCCAAACGAACUUUUUGCAUUCUCUAACGGGCCAACGAGGCUUAUCCUUUCGAGUCAAGCCCUAAAGAAAGAC
Molecule: long non-coding RNA, 1310 nt
Filed under: Capsicum annuum
Lineage: Eukaryota; Viridiplantae; Streptophyta; Magnoliopsida; Solanales; Solanaceae
Description: long non-coding RNA (CANN_LNC011841)
Source: RNAcentral